This 463-nucleotide ribosomal RNA is filed under the name uncultured bacterium. RNAcentral describes it as "partial 16S ribosomal RNA". It matches the Rfam family "Bacterial small subunit ribosomal RNA", at positions 28 to 507 of the family's 1533-position model. The record is from RNAcentral.
GACGAACGCUGGCGGCGUGCUUAACACAUGCAAGUCGAACGGUGAACCUCUUCGGAGGGGAUCAGUGGCGAACGGGUGAGUAACACGUGGGCAGCCUGCCCCCGGCUCUGGGAUAACUCCAAGAAAUUGGGGCUAAUACCGGAUGUUCACCGCUUCCCGCAUGGGUGGUGGUGGAAAGGGUUUCCGGCUGGGGAUGGGCCCGCGGCCUAUCAGCUUGUUGGUGGGGUAGUGGCCUACCAAGGCGACGACGGGUAGCCGGCCUGAGAGGGUGACCGGCCACACUGGGACUGAGACACGGCCCAGACUCCUACGGGAGGCAGCAGUGGGGAAUAUUGCGCAAUGGGCGGAAGCCUGACGCAGCGACGCCGCGUGGGGGAUGACGGCCUUCGGGUUGUAAACCUCUUUCAGCAGGGACGAAGCGCAAGUGACGGUACCUGCAGAAGAAGCACCGGCCAACUACGUG